Molecule: long non-coding RNA, 946 nt
Organism: Cynocephalus volans (Philippine flying lemur)
Lineage: Eukaryota; Metazoa; Chordata; Mammalia; Dermoptera; Cynocephalidae
Exons: 5
Source: RefSeq, a predicted model, not a curated record
CAUCUUUUGUGUGGGGAUUCCGGAUGCUGCCGCUGUUCCCAGCGCUGCUCCUCAGGUCCUGAUGUUGGAUUGUCCGUCCCUGAAGGAGCUGUGACAGAGUUUGAAGGAGGACGCCCUAUGAAUAGGAAGAGGAAUCCCACCUGAGAGAAGAUCACUGUGGCCUGAACCCUCUCAGGACUGCUUCAGAGCAGAGCUAAUGUGUUGAGAGUUUUGGUCAGGAGAAUCUGGGGUCGAGCCACAACAGUUCUCUCCUUAAUCCACUCCAUUCCCUCUUCUCCCAGCUAAGCUGCCAGAGUGCACUGUGCAUUUCCAAGAGCAAGAAAAGGUAGAUAAAUCUCUGUGGCAGAGAGAGGAGACCAGCUAGCACUUUUCCCAUUGUUGACAGAAUUCUCCUUUGGCAGAGCCCUGAGAGGUUGAGAUUUCCUUUCCAUUUUCCAUGCUGUGAUAGGCAAUAUUGUGGCCCACAUCCUUCAGUGCUCCAUUUAUAUCUGGAUUGAAGUAGAGAAGUGAAUGUGGGGAACCUGAAGAAAGCCGCACAGAGGCUACACAAACCAGGACAAGGAUAUUUAAAGUAUAAAAAUGGAGGCUUUGGAAAGAAAUAGCUGGUUUCUAUUCUUACAACACAAACUUUCUAGUGGUCACCAUCUCCAUGAAAAUGGAACAACAUAAUUGUUUCCAGUUAGAAGCAAGAGAGUAAAAGUUUAUUUCCAUUAGACUGGCCCAAACCGGUCUUCUUUCCAGAUGGUUGUUUAGUCGAUGACUCUGCUCGGGACUCAGCCUGAGUGUCUGUGGACUGCUCGGCUUUGGCAAACAAAACAAAGCAACAACAACAACAACAAAAACACAAAACAAAGAAACACCCCCUGAAAUUUUUGACAUGCAGAUAUAUGCAGUGCUUUUUCCUUUCCUUUUCUUUUGUAUCUACAUUUUGCUUUCUACUCUGAAC